RNAcentral lists this ribosomal RNA (1485 nucleotides) under uncultured prokaryote. RNAcentral's name for it is "partial 16S ribosomal RNA". It matches the Rfam family "Bacterial small subunit ribosomal RNA". The record is from RNAcentral.
AGAGUUUGAUCCUGGCUCAGGACGAACGCUGGCGGCGUGCCUAACACAUGCAAGUCGAACGAGAAACCGGAGCUUGCUCCGGUGGACAGUGGCGAACGGGUGAGUAACACGUGAGAAACCUGCCCUGGAGACCGGGACAACCAUUGGAAACGAUGGCUAAUACCGGAUGCCCUCAGAUGGUCGCAUGACCGACUGAGGAAAUGCUCUGGCGCUCUGGGAGGGUCUCGCGGCCUAUCAGCUAGUUGGUGGGGUAAUGGCCUACCAAGGCAUCGACGGGUAGCUGGUCUGAGAGGACGAUCAGCCACACUGGGACUGAGACACGGCCCAGACUUCUACGGGAGGCAGCAGUGGGGAAUAUUGCGCAAUGGGCGAAAGCCUGACGCAGCAACGCCGCGUGAGGGAUGACGGCUUUCGGGUUGUAAACCUCUUUCAGUGACGACGAAAAUGACGGUAGUCACAGAAGAAGGUCCGGCCAACUACGUGCCAGCAGCCGCGGUAACACGUAGGGACCAAGCGUUGUCCGGAUUUAUUGGGCGUAAAGAGCUCGUAGGCGGUUCAGCAAGUCGGCUGUGAAAUUUCGAGGCUCAACCUCGAAACUGCAGUCGAAACUGCUGUGACUCGAGUCCGGUAGAGGAGAAUGGAAUUCCCGGUGUAGCGGUGAAAUGCGCAGAUAUCGGGAGGAACACCAGUAGCGAAGGCGGUUCUCUGGGCCGGCACUGACGCUGAGGAGCGAAAGCGUGGGUAGCAAACAGGAUUAGAUACCCUGGGUAGUCCACGCCGUAACGUUGGAUACUAGGUGUGGCGGUCUUACCAACCCCCUGCAGUGCCAAAGCUAACGCAUUAAGUUCUCCGCCUGGGGAGUACGGUCGCAAGAUUAAAACUCAAAGGAAUUGACGGGGGCCCGCACAAGCGGUGGAGUAUGUGGUUUAAUUCGAUGCAACGCGAAGAACCUUACCUGGAUUUGACAUCCUCGGAACUUUUCAGAGAUGAUUAGGUGCCUUCGGGAGCCGAGUGACAGGUGCUGCAUGGCUGUCGUCAGCUCGUGUCGUGAGAUGUUGGGUUAAGUCCCGCAACGAGCGCAACCCUUGUCCUUAGUUACCAUCAUUCAGUUGGGGACUCUAAGGAGACUGCCGGUGUUAAACCGGAGGAAGGUGGGGAUGACGUCAAGUCCUCAUGGCCCUUACAUCCAGGGCUACACACGUACUACAAUGGUCGGUACAAUGAGUCGCUAGCUCGCGAGGGUGAGCUAAUCCCACAAAGCUGUUCUUAGUCCGGAUUGCAGUCUGCAACUCGACUGCAUGAAGUUGGAAUCGCUAGUAAUCGUAGAUCAGAACUGCUACGGUGAAUACGUUCCCGGGCCUUGUACACACCGCCCGUCACACCAUGGAAGUCGGCUGCACCUAGAAGCCGGUAGCCUAACCCUCGGGAGGGCGCCGUCCACGGUGUGGUCGAUGACUGGGGUGAAGUCGUAACGAAGGUAGCCGU